This 1495-nucleotide ribosomal RNA is filed under the name metagenome. RNAcentral's name for it is "bacterial SSU rRNA". It matches the Rfam family "Bacterial small subunit ribosomal RNA". The record is from RNAcentral.
AGAGUUUGAUCAUGGCUCAGGAUGAACGCUGGCGGCGUGCCUAACACAUGCAAGUCGAACGGAGUUACUUUGGUGAAGUUUUCGGAUGGAUCUGAUUUAACUUAGUGGCGGACGGGUGAGUAAUGCGUGAGCAACCUGCCCUUCAGAGGGGGACAACAGUUGGAAACGACUGCUAAUACCGCAUAAUGUAUUCGGAAGGCAUCUUCUGGAUACCAAAGGAGAAAUCCGCUGAUGGAUGGGCUCACGUCUGAUUAGCUAGUUGGUGAGGUAACGGCUCACCAAGGCUGCGAUCAGUAGCCGGACUGAGAGGUUGAACGGCCACAUUGGGACUGAGAUACGGCCCAGACUCCUACGGGAGGCAGCAGUGGGGAAUAUUGGGCAAUGGGCGAAAGCCUGACCCAGCAACGCCGCGUGAAGGAAGAAGGCCUUCGGGUUGUAAACUUCUUUUAAGAGGGACGAAGAAGUGACGGUACCUCUUGAAUAAGCCACGGCUAACUACGUGCUAGCAGCCGCGGUAAUACGUAGGUGGCGAGCGCUAUCCGGAUUUACUGGGUGUAAAGGGCGCGUAGGCGGGAAUGCAAGUCAGAUGUGAAAUCCAAGGGCUCAACCCUUGAACUGCAUUUGAAACUGUAUUUCUUGAGUGUCGGAGAGGUUGACGGAAUUCCUAGUGUAGCGGUGAAAUGCGUAGAUAUUAGGAGGAACACCAGUGGCGAAGGCGGUCAACUGGACGAUAACUGACGCUGAGGCGCGAAAGCGUGGGGAGCAAACAGGAUUAGAUACCCUGGUAGUCCACGCCGUGAACGAUGAAUACUAGGUGUGGGGGGACUGACCCCUUCCGUGCCGCAGUUAACACAAUAAGUAUUCCACCUGGGGAGUACGACCGCAAGGUUGAAACUCAAAGGAAUUGACGGGGGCCCGCACAAGCAGUGGAUUAUGUGGUUUAAUUCGAAGCAACGCGAAGAACCUUACCAGGGCUUGACAUCCAACUAACGAAGCAGAGAUGCAUUAGGUGCCCUUCGGGGAAAGUUGAGACAGGUGGUGCAUGGUUGUCGUCAGCUCGUGUCGUGAGAUGUUGGGUUAAGUCCCGCAACGAGCGCAACCCCUAUCCCCAGUAGCCAGCAUUUAAGGUGGGCACUCUGAGGAGACUGCCAGGGAUAACCUGGAGGAAGGCGGGGAUGACGUCAAAUUAUCAUGCCCCUUAUGAUUUGGGCUACACACGUGCUACAAUGGCGUAAACAAAGGGAAGCGAACCCGCGAGGGUGGGCAAAUCCCAAAAAUAACGUCCCAGUUCGGACUGUAGUCUGCAACCCGACUACACGAAGCUGGAAUCGCUAGUAAUCGCGGAUCAGAAUGCCGCGGUGAAUACGUUCCCGGGUCUUGUACACACCGCCCGUCACACCAUGGGAGUCAGUAACGCCCGAAGUCAGUGACCUAACCGUAAGGAGGGAGCUGCCGAAGGCGGGACCGAUGACUGGGGUGAAGUCGUAACAAGGUA